CAGCCGCCACGGUAAUACGUAGGUCCCGAGCGUUGUCCGGAUUUAUUGGGCGUAAAGCGAGCGCAGGCGGUUAGAUAAGUCUGAAGUUAAAGGCUGUGGCUUAACCAUAGUACGCUUUGGAAACUGUUUAACUUGAGUGCGAGAGGGGAGAGUGGAAUUCCAUGUGUAGCGGUGAAAUGCGUAGAUAUAUGGAGGAACACCGGUGGCGAAAGCGGCUCUCUGGCUUGUAACUGACGCUGAGGCUCGAAAGCGUGGGGAGCAAACAGGAUUAGAUACCCCCGUAGUCCCUGUCUCUUAUACC
This 301-nucleotide ribosomal RNA is filed under the name uncultured bacterium. Its description in RNAcentral is "partial 16S ribosomal RNA". It matches the Rfam family "Bacterial small subunit ribosomal RNA", at positions 509 to 808 of the family's 1533-position model. The record is from RNAcentral.